AACGAACGCUGGCGGCAUGCCUAACACAUGCAAGUCGAACGAGACCUUCGGGUCUAGUGGCGCACGGGUGCGUAACGCGUGGGAACCUGCCCUUAGGUUCGGAAUAACUCCCCGAAAGGGGUGCUAAUACCGGAUAAUGUCUUCGGACCAAAGAUUUAUCGCCUUUGGAUGGGCCCGCGUUGGAUUAGCUAGUUGGUAGGGUAAAAGCCUACCAAGGCGACGCUCCAUAGCUGGUCUGAGAGGAUGAUCAGCCACACUGGGACUGAGACACGGCCCAGACUCCUGCGGGAGGCAGCAGUGGGGAAUAUUGGACAAUGGGCGAAAGCCUGAUCCAGCAAUGCCGCGUGAGUGAUGAAGGCCUUAGGGUUGUAAAGCUCGUUUACCCGGGAUGAUAAUGACAGUACCGGGAGAAUAAGCACCGGCUAACUCCGUG
This 433-nucleotide ribosomal RNA is filed under the name uncultured bacterium. RNAcentral describes it as "partial 16S ribosomal RNA". It matches the Rfam family "Bacterial small subunit ribosomal RNA", at positions 29 to 507 of the family's 1533-position model. The record is from RNAcentral.